AAAAAUACAUAAUGUAUACUUUAAAAUUAUGGGUCUUACAGUUUCUAGUUUCUAGUUUGAUGUUUCGUUUUCUUUAGCAUUAGAGAGAUAGAAGUAACCAAGAAAGAAGUAGAGAGAGGCAGAAAGAAACCGAGAGAAGGAGAAGAGACCAAGGAAGCCGCGAGAAGUGUGGUUGCUCCAAAAGGCACCGGUUUCAACAACGAUGG
This 206-nucleotide long non-coding RNA is filed under the name Cicer arietinum (chickpea). Its description in RNAcentral is "long non-coding RNA (CARI_LNC000199)". Lineage: Eukaryota; Viridiplantae; Streptophyta; Magnoliopsida; Fabales; Fabaceae. The record is from RNAcentral.